CCAAACUUGGUCAUUUAGAGGAAGUAAAAGUCGUAACAAGGUCUCCGUUGGUGAACCAGCGGAGGGAUCAUUAGAGAGUUGCAAGACUCCCAACACACUCGUGAACACUACCCGUCCCGUUGCUUCGGCGGGCGGCCCCGGGGAGGGGUCGCAGCCCGCGAGGGCGCCCGCCGGGGAUAUUUGACACUGUAAUUUAGGCCUCUCUGAGCACUGAGAAACACCUCAAAACUUUCAACAACGGAUCUCUUGGUUCUGGCAUCGAUGAAGAACGCAGC
This 275-nucleotide unclassified non-coding RNA is filed under the name uncultured fungus. RNAcentral describes it as "partial contains small subunit ribosomal RNA, internal transcribed spacer 1, and 5.8S ribosomal RNA". The stretch from base 1 to 73 matches the Rfam family "Eukaryotic small subunit ribosomal RNA", at positions 1759 to 1831 of the family's 1831-position model. Lineage: Eukaryota; Fungi. The record is from RNAcentral.